ACGGGGGCAGCAGCUAAGAAUAUUCCGCAAUGGACGAAAGUCUGACGGAGCGACGCCGCGUGGAUGAUGAAGGUCGGAAGAUUGUAAAAUCCUUUUAUGACUGAGGAAUAAGUGAAGUGAGAGAAACGCUUCAUGGUGACUGUAGGUCAUGAAUAAGCAACGGCUAAUUACGUGCCAGCAGCCGCGGUAACACGUAAGUUGCGAGCGUUGUUCGGAAUUAUUGGGCGUAAAGGGCAUGUAGGCGGUUUUGCAAGCUUGGUGUGAAAUCCCGGAGCUCAACUCCGGAAUUGCGUUGAGAACUGCAUAACUAGAGUCACUGAGGGGCAAUCAGAAUUCCAGGUGUAGGGGUGAAAUCUGUAGAUAUCUGGAAGAAUACCAAUGGCGAAGGCAGGUUACCAGCAGAUGACUGACGCUGAGGUGCGAAGGUGCGGGGAGCAAACAGGAUUAGAUACCCUGGUA
Molecule: ribosomal RNA, 459 nt
Filed under: uncultured Treponema sp.
Lineage: Bacteria; Pseudomonadati; Spirochaetota; Spirochaetia; Treponematales; Treponemataceae
Description: partial 16S ribosomal RNA
Rfam family: Bacterial small subunit ribosomal RNA
Source: RNAcentral